Homarus americanus (American lobster) is the source of this 1747-nucleotide long non-coding RNA. RefSeq lists it as uncharacterized. The record is from RefSeq and is a predicted model, not a curated record. Lineage: Eukaryota; Metazoa; Arthropoda; Malacostraca; Decapoda; Nephropidae. The transcript has 2 exons.
AGCGAAUCAGUCUGCCUCCAGCUGUGGUGGGGUGAGGACGUACGGUGCGCCCAGCUCCUUGUGAUGAGUGGUGGACGGAACUUACAUAGCAAAAUACACCUCUACUGUGUUUUAACCGAUACCAAAAAGUGAUUAAAGUGUCUUAGUGGAUAAAAACGUGAUUAAUCUUCGCCUCAACGACAGGAAUAAGGAAAAUUAUGACGUCAACGCUUGCGAAAGAGGAAAUAAAAAAAAUAUAAAUUUUUUUCAAAGUUUAAAAAUAAUUAAAACAAAUUGUGAAUUGUUUUGAAAAUGGUAACACCUUUGACCUCUGGAUAACGUUCAGAUGGAUAAGUAUGGUGAUUGUAGGUUAACGUUCGGAUAAAUUACUAAACCGUGGAUAACGUCUGGAUAUAUGUGAAGUUGUGAAUACAGUGUGGAAAAUUUAGUGUUGGUCAAAGCCUGGAUAAGUUGUGAUAAUCUGGAUAAAUAAGUGUUGGAUAAGCUUAACUAAGUGAUGGAUAACGCCUAGAAAAGUUUUACUGAUGGUGGAUAAAAUCUGGAUAUAUCUAGUGAAAUGGAUAACGUCUGGAUAAGUUUAGUGAGAUGGAAAAUGUUUGGAUAAGUUGAGUUAUGGGUAACGUCUGGAUAAUUUUAGUGAGUGAUGGGUAACGUCUGGAUAAUUUUAGUGAGUGAUGGAUAACGUCUGAAUAAUUUAAUGGGUGGUGGAUAAAAUCUGGAUAUAUCUAAUGAGUGAUGGAAACGCCUGGAUAAAUUUAGUGCGUGAUGCAUAACGCCUGGAUAAAUUUAGUGCGUGAUGCAUAACGCCUGGAUAAGUUUAGUGUGUAGUGGAUAACGUCUGGAUAAGUUUAGUGAGUGUUGGAAACUCCUGGAUACAUUUAGUGUGUGAUGGAUAACGCCUGGAUAAAUUUAGUGCGAGAUGGAUAACGCCUGGCUAAGUUUAGUGUGUAGUGGAUAUCGCCUGGAUAAGUUUAGUGAGAUGGAAAACGUCUGGAUAAGUUUAGUGAGUGUUGGAUAAAGUCAAGAGUAAACAAGUGAUAGAUAUAGUGAGGAUAAAGUUCAGGCAUAUCCAGUGAAAAUAUGGAUAAAGUCGAGAUAUAUCCAAUAAAAGCGGGAUAAAGACUGGAUAAUGGAUAUAUGUAGCGAGUGAUGGAUAAAGUCCUAAUAUAUUUAAUACAGGGAUAAAGUUGUUAAUAUUAGUGGAUUAUGGAUAAAGUCUGGAUUAAAUUAAUGAGUGAAAAUAUAUGAAGUGAAUAAUGGAUAAAAAUCCAUAAAUAUUCCAAAAAGUCGGAUAAGUCCGGAUAUAAUCAAUAAAAGAUAAGGUAAAAUCCAACUUUAUUCAACGAGUGAAGGAUAUCCGGAUUAUUAAUGAACGUUGGAUAAAGUCCAGAUAAAGUCAGGAUGUACACAUUAAGUCCUGGAUAGUGGUUGAAAAAGUCCAAUUAGUCGGUUAAUUAUUUUCAAUUACCGAAAUAUUGAAAUUAAUUGUUACAUACAGAAUUACGGAAAAACAGCAUUACAUCUCUGAAUCAAUUCCGGUUAAACGAAUUCCGGAUUAUCGGAUUUUUUGGAGUUCGGUUUAAGAAUAUGUUCGAGUUAGCGUUCAGACGUUAACCUCUGCUCGAAAUACGAUGUAAAUAAGUCGAAAUAAGACGAAAGAAGUCGAAAUAAAACGAAUUAAGACAAAUUAAGUUGGAAUACAGUAAGUCGAAAUAAGAAAGUGAAAAUAAGACGAAAUAAGUAAAAA